RNAcentral lists this ribosomal RNA (301 nucleotides) under uncultured bacterium. RNAcentral describes it as "partial 16S ribosomal RNA". It matches the Rfam family "Bacterial small subunit ribosomal RNA", at positions 509 to 809 of the family's 1533-position model. The record is from RNAcentral.
CAGUCGCCGCGGGAAUACGUAGGUGGCAAGCGUUGUCCGGAAUUAUUGGGCGUAAAGCGCGCGCAGGCGGAUCAGUCAGUCUGUCUUAAAAGUUCGGGGCUUAACCCCGUGAGGGGAUGGAAACUGCUGAUCUAGAGUAUCGGAGAGGAAAGUGGAAUUCCUAGUGUAGCGGUGAAAUGCGUAGAUAUUAGGAAGAACACCAGUGGCGAAGGCGACUUUCUGGACGAAAACUGACGCUGAGGCGCGAAAGCCAGGGGAGCGAACGGGAUUAGAUACCCCCGUAGUCCCUGUCUCUUAUACA